RNAcentral lists this ribosomal RNA (136 nucleotides) under Castor canadensis (American beaver). Lineage: Eukaryota; Metazoa; Chordata; Mammalia; Rodentia; Castoridae. The record is from RNAcentral.
GUCUACAGCCAUACCACCCUGAACACACCCCAUCUCAUCUGGUACCAUGAAGCUAAACAGGGUCGGGCAUGGUUAGUACUUGGAUGGGAAAAAGAUCUUCAUAGGAGAUUGCUCAGAGACAAGCAGUUUGGAGACA